RNAcentral lists this unclassified non-coding RNA (101 nucleotides) under Flavobacterium xueshanense. RNAcentral's name for it is "Flavo-1 RNA". Lineage: Bacteria; Pseudomonadati; Bacteroidota; Flavobacteriia; Flavobacteriales; Flavobacteriaceae. The record is from RNAcentral.
GUUUAGCCUUGAUCUAAACCGUAUCCUUUUGAGCCGGCUCGGCGAGGGAUGAAAUAAUCUUUUUUGUUGCCUCAAAAGAUAAAGUGUCGACGAGUGAAUAG